RNAcentral lists this ribosomal RNA (1095 nucleotides) under Triticum aestivum (bread wheat). Its description in RNAcentral is "partial small subunit ribosomal RNA". Lineage: Eukaryota; Viridiplantae; Streptophyta; Magnoliopsida; Poales; Poaceae. The record is from RNAcentral.
AUGGCGGACUGGCCGUCGCUCCCGCCUGAGCUCAUCAGGCGCAUCGCCGACUGCAUCCUGGACACCAACGACCUGGACUGCUACGUGGACUUCCGCGCCGUCUGCCCCACCUGGCGCUCCGCCACCGACGACCCCAAGAAUUCCUCCGAGCUCCGCUUCCGUCCGCACCGGUGGAUCAUCAUCGACGAGGUCUUCGAGAGCCACUCGCGGCUUCUGGUUAACACCGUCAGCGGUCUCGUCGUCCGCAAGGACCUGCCUCUGCUCGGCAGCUACUUUGUGGUUGCUACUACCCACGGCGGCUUCUUCGUCCUCGGCAAGAAGGAGCCCCCUCAUGCAGCGGUCGUCCUCAACCCUUUCACCGGCCACAUGAUCCGCUUCAAGGCGUCGCCCAACUACGUGGGUGUUUGUGCUGCCGCUCUCUCCGGUCUUUUCAUGGGAAAGCUACCUACGAGUUCUGAUCUUUCUGAACUCCGUUCUUCACCCACCCUCAUCUUGCUGUCUGACAGAUGUUACCGGGAGUACUUCAUGGCUGUUCCUGACAGUGUUCGUUUCAGUAUAGACGCCGAGGAUGUGAAAUUAUACGCUUUGUUGCGGCUGGCCGCCGGCGGUGGUAUCUGCGCCACCGAUAGUUGGCAGAGGACGGCGGCUCUGCUUCCAGUUGGUUUGGCUGACAAGAUCUUCAGUUUGAUGAAGCUCGUCACCGACAGCAAUGAGCUCGAGCCUGUGAAGAGCAUUGGCGACCGUGCCAUCUUCAUCGGUCACCGUAUGUGCGUGUCUGUCAAUACGCACAAGUUCCCGUCAAUCGUCCCCAACUGCAUCUACUAUGCGUGCUCCUCAGAUUCUUCACUUGACAUCUACCAGUAUGAUCUCCCGACUGAUAAUGCAGAGAGGGUUUCUGAAGGCAUAGGUUCUCUGAUCAACAGUGGGAUGUCUUUCGCCAACCCUCCGUUUACGAUCAUUCAGCUCCUCUCCAGCUACACCAUCAACGCCCGGGCGUCUCAGCUAGCGAUGGAAAAGAUUAAACCUCAGCCCCAAGCUGCUGCUACUCCGUAUCUGGACUAUUGGUCUGAUUCUGACCUGGACAUUUUUUGGUGA